GCGAGAGUGGCGGAAUUGGCAGACGCGCUGGAUUUAGGAUCCAGUGAGGAACACUCGUGGGGGUUCGAAUCCCCCCUCUCGCACCA
RNAcentral lists this transfer RNA (86 nucleotides) under Candidatus Latescibacterota bacterium. RNAcentral's name for it is "tRNA-Leu". It matches the Rfam family "tRNA". From Rfam's summary of the family: Transfer RNA (tRNA) molecules are approximately 80 nucleotides in length. Their secondary structure includes four short double-helical elements and three loops (D, anti-codon, and T loops). Further hydrogen bonds mediate the characteristic L-shaped molecular structure. tRNAs have two regions of fundamental functional importance: the anti-codon, which is responsible for specific mRNA codon recognition, and the 3' end, to which the tRNAs corresponding amino acid is attached (by aminoacyl-tRNA synthetases). tRNAs cope with the degeneracy of the genetic code in two manners: having more than one tRNA (with a specific anti-codon) for a particular amino acid; and 'wobble' base-pairing, i.e. permitting non-standard base-pairing at the 3rd anti-codon position. Lineage: Bacteria; Pseudomonadati; Candidatus Latescibacterota. RNAcentral also lists the same sequence under 1 other name. The record is from RNAcentral.